Molecule: ribosomal RNA, 535 nt
Filed under: uncultured bacterium
Lineage: Bacteria
Description: bacterial SSU rRNA
Rfam family: Bacterial small subunit ribosomal RNA
Source: RNAcentral
AGAGUUUGAUCCUGGCUCAGGACGAACGCUGGCGGCGUGCCUAAUACAUGCAAGUCGAGCGGACCGGAUUGGGGCUUGCCUUGAUUCGGUCAGCGGCGGACGGGUGAGUAACACGUGGGCAACCUGCCCGCAAGACCGGGAUAACUCCGGGAAACCGGAGCUAAUACCGGAUAACACCGAAGGCCGCAUGGUCUUCGGUUGAAAGGCGGCCUUUGGGCUGUCACUUGCGGAUGGGCCCGCGGCGCAUUAGCUAGUUGGUGAGGUAACGGCUCACCAAGGCGACGAUGCGUAGCCGGCCUGAGAGGGUGACCGGCCACACUGGGACUGAGACACGGCCCAGACUCCUACGGGAGGCAGCAGUAGGGAAUCUUCCGCAAUGGGCGAAAGCCUGACGGAGCGACGCCGCGUGAGCGAAGAAGGCCUUCGGGUCGUAAAGCUCUGUUGUGAGGGACGAAGGAGCGCCGUUCGAAGAGGGCGGCGCGGUGACGGUACCUCACGAGAAAGCCCCGGCUAACUACGUGCCAGCAGCCGCGGU